This 279-nucleotide long non-coding RNA is filed under the name Lathyrus oleraceus (garden pea). RNAcentral describes it as "Pisum sativum (pea) long non-coding RNA (PSAT_LNC005541)". Lineage: Eukaryota; Viridiplantae; Streptophyta; Magnoliopsida; Fabales; Fabaceae. The record is from RNAcentral.
UUGCUGCAGCCAGACCACCAAAAUCGACCAGCCACAUGCUUUUCCUUAUUUGAUCAUGUACUUUUGGUUCAACUCACUUAAACCAUGCCAAAAUAAGUCAUUUCCUAAUACCACCUCACCUUGCCAAAUUUGUUUCAAGUACACACAACCAAAUCAAAUUGGACCUAAGCCCAUUAAGGACAUUUGGGACCAACAUACAUAAACCAGGAAAACCCUAAUCUGAAGGGUGGCUACAUUUUUUCGAGCAAAUUAAGAGUGAGCAAGCAAGGAAGGUUCAAG